This 632-nucleotide ribosomal RNA is filed under the name Falsiruegeria litorea. RNAcentral's name for it is "bacterial SSU rRNA". It matches the Rfam family "Bacterial small subunit ribosomal RNA", at positions 66 to 744 of the family's 1533-position model. The record is from RNAcentral. Lineage: Bacteria; Pseudomonadati; Pseudomonadota; Alphaproteobacteria; Rhodobacterales; Roseobacteraceae.
GCGAUCCCUUCGGGGAUAGCGGCGGACGGGUUAGUAACGCGUGGGAAUAUGCCCAAAGGUACGGAAUAGCCUCUGGAAACGGAGAUUAAUACCGUAUGUGCCCUUCGGGGGAAAGAUUUAUCGCCUUUGGAUUAGCCCGCGUUGGAUUAGGUAGUUGGUGGGGUAAUGGCCUACCAAGCCUACGAUCCAUAGCUGGUUUGAGAGGAUGAUCAGCAACACUGGGACUGAGACACGGCCCAGACUCCUACGGGAGGCAGCAGUGGGGAAUCUUCGGCAAUGGGCGCAAGCCUGACCGAGCCAUGCCGCGUGAGCGAUGAAGGCCUUAGGGUUGUAAAGCUCUUUCGCCAGGGAUGAUAAUGACAGUACCUGGUAAAGAAACCCCGGCUAACUCCGUGCCAGCAGCCGCGGUAAUACGGAGGGGGUUAGCGUUGUUCGGAAUUACUGGGCGUAAAGCGCGCGUAGGCGGAUUGGAAAGUUAGAGGUGAAAUCCCGGGGCUCAACCCCGGAACUGCCUUUAAAACUCCCAGUCUUGAGUUCGAGAGAGGUGAGUGGAACUCCGAGUGUAGAGGUGAAAUUCGUAGAUAUUCGGAAGAACACCAGUGGCGAAGGCGGCUCACUGGCUCGAUACUGAC